CUGGGGCAGACCGUGAGAUGGGAGUCAUGAGUAGGAAGAGACCAUGGAAACUGGGUGGUCUAUUCUCUCAUUUGGUACACAAAUCCUACUCUAUGUACUCUGACAAUACUCAAGACACUUUCAGGGACCAGAAGUUUAGAUUUCCUCCCAAACUGCCCCACCUUCCCACUUAAACAAAAUAGACACACCAUAGGCCUCAGCUGGAAGAUUUUAUGUUUUAUAGCAAACCAUAUUGUACAAUUCCGAGAUCCAGGGGGCCUGGGGCCCAGCCCAGCCCAGCCCACUCCCCUUGCUCCCAUUUUCUCAGUUUCCUUUUCUGUGCCCUCAUCCUUCAAAUCCUCUAUAGUUCCAUCUCCAAACUGCUUCUCCCUACCCCAACCCUCCCCUCCCCUCCCGGCCUUUGGUCCACCUCUUCCCUCCCUCCCCCAAUCCUUUUUCCCUCCCUGUUACCUGAGGUAUGUGGUUCACUCUGUCCUCUCCCCUCCCCCCUCUCUCCCAAGUGGUUUAGUCCAUGUGGCCAGAGGAUAGCCUCCUCAGCCACUCCUCCCUUUGGGCUUGGGGUAUCUUUCCCAGGACAAACCCAUAGGUGGAGCUAGCUGCAGAGCUCCGAGCCACGCCUCUUGGGUGGAGAUUCAGGAGGAGUGGCUGUUACUAUAGUGACAGGGAUGAGUAAAAGAGGAGAGAAAGGGAGAAAAAAAAAACCCUGGAAAUUCCCAUGGCAACCUAGAGGGGCCUUUCCAGCUGGGACACUAGCUUUGGGAGUGUGUCCAUUGGCUGCUACUUCCUUGGCAACCAGGAGUGGCAUUUCCCUGGGCAAAUGGGAUGCAAGUUUCCACGACAACAAAAGGGGUGGGAAAAAACCAGCUUUGGGGAAUCCCUUCUCCCCAUCACUGGCUGUCUGGCCCUGGGGGAGGGUAGGAGAGGAUAGAUACAGUAAAAGUAAGACCGGAAAUGUCCCAGUCCAAAUUGCCAACGACCCAAUCCAAACUGGUAACUUCCCCCGACCCCUUUCCCCUUCCCCAACUCCCACCUCCCCAUCCCCAAAGUCCCCUAAGUUCAAGUAACACUUCAGUACAGAUGAAUGUUCAAGUAUUUUUCUGGGAAGUGGGGUAGUCUGGAGAUCCCUCACUUCCCUAGCAGGGCCCCCGAUUCCCUGUACAGCAGUAAAGGCCCCUGUCCUCUCCCCACCUCCACAAUUAGCUGCCAUGUCAGUGACGGUUCAAGAGUUGGAGAGGGGAGAGGAAGGGACAAUCUUAGGGUGAUAAGGAUGGAAGAGGAGAGCCCUUGGCCUGCCUGAUGCUCCCCCAUAGCUUGCUCCCAUCCCCUCCCUUCCCUCUGUAGCCUCACCUCAUCCCUCUUUCCCCAACCCCAAUUUUAGUUCCCUUUGAGCUGCCCUCAAUCUGACACCCGUUUC
Molecule: long non-coding RNA, 1414 nt
Filed under: Sarcophilus harrisii (Tasmanian devil)
Lineage: Eukaryota; Metazoa; Chordata; Mammalia; Dasyuromorphia; Dasyuridae
Description: lncRNA (ENSSHAG00000023554.1)
Source: RNAcentral